This 252-nucleotide ribosomal RNA is filed under the name uncultured prokaryote. RNAcentral describes it as "partial 16S ribosomal RNA". It matches the Rfam family "Bacterial small subunit ribosomal RNA", at positions 604 to 775 of the family's 1533-position model. The record is from RNAcentral.
CCUUCUUCUUCUCUCUUUCUCCUUCUUUCCUUUUCUUCCCUCUCUUUCCUUCUUUUCUCUCCUUCUUUCUUUCCCGCUCCCAGUCUUAACCGGGAGAGGGCGUGCGAGACUGUCGGACUAGAGGCAGGUAGAGGCAAGUGGAAUUCCGGGUGUAGUGGUGAAAUGCGUAGAGAUCCGGAGGAACCCCGGUGGCGAAGGCGACUUGCUGGGCCUGAACUGACGCUCAGACGCGAAAGCAUGGGGAGCGAACGG